UACGUAGGCAGCGAGCGUUGUUCGGAAUUACUGGGCGUAAAGCGCACGUAGGCGGACUAUUAAGUCAGGGGUGAAAUCCCGGGGCUCAACCCCGGAACUGCCUUUGAUACUGGUAGUCUCGAGUCCGGAAGAGGUGAGUGGAAUUCCGAGUGUAGAGGUGAAAUUCGUAGAUAUUCGGAGGAACACCAGUGGCGAAGGCGGCUCACUGGUCCGGUACUGACGCUGAGGUGCGAAAGCGUGGGGAGCAAACAGG
RNAcentral lists this ribosomal RNA (253 nucleotides) under uncultured bacterium. RNAcentral's name for it is "partial 16S ribosomal RNA". It matches the Rfam family "Bacterial small subunit ribosomal RNA", at positions 524 to 776 of the family's 1533-position model. The record is from RNAcentral.